ACAGAGGGUGCAAGCGUUAAUCGGAGUUACUGGGCGUAAAGGGCGCGUAGGCGGGUAUUUAAGUCGGAUGUGAAAUCCCUGGGCUUAACCUAGGAAUUGCAUUCGAUACUGAAUAUUCUUGAGUAUGGUAGAGGAAAGUGGAAUUCUCGGUGUAGUAGUAAAAUACGUAGAUAUCGAGAAGAACACCGGUGGCGAAGGCGGCUUUCUGGACCAAUACUGACGCUGAGGCGCGAAAGCGUGGGGAGCAAACAG
RNAcentral lists this ribosomal RNA (252 nucleotides) under uncultured prokaryote. Its description in RNAcentral is "partial 16S rRNA". It matches the Rfam family "Bacterial small subunit ribosomal RNA", at positions 525 to 775 of the family's 1533-position model. The record is from RNAcentral.